GGCCCCUUAGCUCAGUUGGUUAGAGCACGCGACUCAUAAUCGCUUGGUCGCUGGUUCAAGUCCAGCAGGGGCCA
Molecule: transfer RNA, 74 nt
Organism: Erwinia mallotivora
Lineage: Bacteria; Pseudomonadati; Pseudomonadota; Gammaproteobacteria; Enterobacterales; Erwiniaceae
Rfam family: tRNA
About the family: Transfer RNA (tRNA) molecules are approximately 80 nucleotides in length.
Source: Rfam